UGGGGAAUAUUGGACAAUGGGCGCAAGCCUGAUCCAGCCAUGCCGCGUGAGUGAUGAAGGCCCUAGGGUUGUAAAGCUCUUUCACCGGUGAAGAUAAUGACGGUAACCGGAGAAGAAGCCCCGGCUAACUUCGUGCCAGCAGCCGCGGUAAUACGAAGGGGGCUAGCGUUGUUCGGAUUUACUGGGCGUAAAGCGCACGUAGGCGGACUAUUAAGUCAGGGGUGAAAUCCCGGGGCUCAACCCCGGAACUGCCUUUGAUACUGGUAGUCUUGAGUUCGAGAGAGGUGAGUGGAAUUCCGAGUGUAGAAGUGAAAUUCGGAGAUAUUCGGAGGAACACCAGUGGCGAAGGCGGCUCACUGGCUCGAUACUGACGCUGAGGUGCGAAAGCGUGGGGAGCAAACAGG
This 404-nucleotide ribosomal RNA is filed under the name Actinomycetes bacterium. RNAcentral's name for it is "Actinobacteria bacterium partial 16S ribosomal RNA". It matches the Rfam family "Bacterial small subunit ribosomal RNA", at positions 355 to 776 of the family's 1533-position model. Lineage: Bacteria; Bacillati; Actinomycetota; Actinomycetes. The record is from RNAcentral.